GUUGUUUUACCAUCCAACAAGCCUGCCUUAUGACUUUUUAAAGCUGUUUGUUAUUUUCUUCAUCCAACAAGUUUUCUCUCAGCCAUUAGUCGUUUUUAUUCAUCUAAUGACCUUUUUUUCUAAGCCGGUGGCCAAUGUUUCCAUCCAACAUAUCUAAAAACGGACCCAUAUUGUCUUUUAUCUAGAAUAAAGAAUCUCUUUUCGGUUCAUAAUCCUUGUUUAGAAUCUUUGUGUUAUGAUUCGUUAAGUCGUUAGCAGCCUUUGUCAAAAGAAGCCAUUAGUUGUUUUUUUU
Molecule: long non-coding RNA, 292 nt
Filed under: Brassica napus (rape)
Lineage: Eukaryota; Viridiplantae; Streptophyta; Magnoliopsida; Brassicales; Brassicaceae
Description: long non-coding RNA (BNAP_LNC003379)
Source: RNAcentral